AAGGUACCCUAAAAUAAUAAUAUUCUCAGAUGCAUUGAUUUCACUACGUCUGAGUACAUUCCAUUAGAAAUAAAAUCAUUCUUUCUGCUGUUUCAUUAGGACCAUUUGAGCAGUGUGUGUGCUGAUCCUUUUCAGGUAUCACAAGUUUGAGACCUAGGGGAUAAUCAAGAAAGGAAACAUAUGGCUUAAUAGUGAGGAAUUUAUGUGAACUUGCCGGCAGAACUCAGGAGGCUGGCAGAGACUGCCCACGUGGCAGUAGAACUUGGAUGGCUUUUGGCAGAAAGAUUUAUCGUAACAAAAUGGUGUCAGGAGUGUAUAAACUGGACAUGCAGGUCCCACAAGAAAGUGACUGGUAAACUUACUAAACAAGACAAGGGUUCCUGUUAAAUGGAGAAGUGUGCCAGACACACUAUGGCCUAUGGGCUGAAGAUGGAUGCCUCAACGUUACAGAGGAACUUUGGGUGACUGUCCAGUCUUUCCUACAGGCCAAAUUCAGAAGGCAUUUUCUCAAUUAGGAUUUCCCACUUCUCAGGUUCUUUGUCAGUCCACCAUCAAGAAAAAUAAAUCACGACCAGGCACAUAUGAAGUUGGACGAAGAACAUGGCAGCAUGCUCCUCAUGGUACUAAAUUUGCAAAAAGGGAAAUCGGGUAAUAGAGUUUGAAUGACAUCGUGAGAUAAAAUGUGUCAGAGCUAAAUUUCCUACAUGGGGAUCCAGAAAGGCUUCUGCAUGAAUACCUAAAGGAGAAGUCCAUCCUGCACUGCAUACCCAGGAUAAAUAGGAUGCCAGAAACAUGAAGUACCUCUCAUGGAAAGAUGCAUGUGUGUAACACAGACAGCUCAAGAAAUUGAUGGCUUAUUCACAGCAAGCACUGAUAGAAGAACAAGACUUUUUAAGCUCUUUGAAGUCAGAAUGAAUGCCUGAAACUACUAGAUGAGAGGCGCAGAUAUGCUGAAUUCAGGGUUUAACUUCAUACAUCGGAUUAGGUCUUUCUCUGUCACCUCUACCCUUGAUUUGUCCCCUUUACUCCAUUUCCUAUCUUUACCCUUUAUGUUAGAAGUAUGAUUUGAUUUAUGAUUGACUAAGUUCUCACAGUUGAAAAACUGCACUGAGUCACCAAAGAAACUUUGGACAACUGCACAGUCUUGUGAAUGGUAAGGAAUAUGGAUAACAAACAUGACAAAAAUUAAGUUUUCACUAUUUGAUAACCUUACUUCUAUGGGAACAAAGGAUUAAAAGUAGCAUGUUUCAUGUUAGUGGAACUGGCCAGUAGUAAUGAUGUUUGUCAAAAGAAUGUGAAUUUGAAUGUUUUGAUUUAGAAAAAAACCAAAAAGAAAAUUUAGGUAAGCUGUUUUCUCUAUACCACUUUAGACCAGAUCACACUGGAAAUGUCUGGACAUUUGUAAAUUUCACAAACAUAAAGGUUUGCCUAGUGUACAACAUAGACUUCCUACUCCAUGAAAUAGGACCCACUGUCUGCAGAGGCAAAAUUAUUAAGUCCAGCUCUGCCAUGGAUACAGAGACUUACCUCAUUACAUAAAGAAUGUGUUUUCUUUUGUUUGUUGAUGUGUCAGCUUCUUUAAAAAAUGCUUUCACCUGGUAUUGGUUUUGGUUUUCUGCAAAAUACAUUUCACAAGUAUUUUUGCCUGUUACUGAUGGUGGGAAAUAUCUGAAUACAUGAUCAUGACCAUUCAGAGUUAAGAUGUAAAAAUAUUUAAAGAAAGGAACACCUUAGACAGAUAGAAGAAUAAGUAAUUUAGACAGACCCAGUGAACCCUGUUGAUGUUUUAAUUAGAAUGAGUUUAUGACUACAUGAGUUUUGUGUAUGAAUAGGAAAUUUCUUCAAGGAACCUUCUGACAGAUGCUGCAAAU
Molecule: long non-coding RNA, 1871 nt
Filed under: Cricetulus griseus (Chinese hamster)
Lineage: Eukaryota; Metazoa; Chordata; Mammalia; Rodentia; Cricetidae
Description: lncRNA (ENSCGRG00015013481.2)
Source: RNAcentral